UACGUAGGGUGCAAGCGUUGUCCGGAAUUAUUGGGCGUAAAGGGCUCGUAGGCGGUUUGUCGCGUCGGGGAGUGAAAACUCAGGGCUUAACCCUGAGCCUGCUUCCGAUACGGGCAGACUAGAGGUAUGCAGGGGAGAACGGAAUUCCUGGUGUAGCGGUGAAAUGCGCAGAUAUCAGGAGGAACACCGGGUGGCGAAGGCGGUUCUCUGGGCAUUACCUGACGCUGAGGAGCGAAAGUGUGGGGAGCGAACAGG
RNAcentral lists this ribosomal RNA (255 nucleotides) under uncultured bacterium. Its description in RNAcentral is "partial 16S ribosomal RNA". It matches the Rfam family "Bacterial small subunit ribosomal RNA", at positions 524 to 776 of the family's 1533-position model. The record is from RNAcentral.